AAACAUUACAGCUCCUUUAGAAUUUGUCUCAUAGGUUUUCUGAUUCUCACUGGAAAACCUCC
Molecule: small nuclear RNA, 62 nt
Organism: Callithrix jacchus (white-tufted-ear marmoset)
Lineage: Eukaryota; Metazoa; Chordata; Mammalia; Primates; Cebidae
Gene: U7
Rfam family: U7 small nuclear RNA
About the family: Animal histone pre-mRNAs are spliced by a different mechanism than nuclear pre-mRNAs and self-splicing introns. This processing involves the U7 snRNP, which contains only one RNA species: U7.
Source: Ensembl